This is a long non-coding RNA of Magallana angulata, 763 nucleotides long. RefSeq lists it as uncharacterized. The transcript is spliced from 2 exons. Lineage: Eukaryota; Metazoa; Mollusca; Bivalvia; Ostreida; Ostreidae. The record is from RefSeq and is a predicted model, not a curated record.
AUAUUGACUCAGCUAAUUCUAACUGGGUGGUAAGUUAUAUUGACUCAACCUCUUCAUACUGGGUGGUAAGUUAUAUUGACUCAACCACUUCUUACUAAGUAGUAACCGUAAGUUAAACUGACUCAACUACUGAAUGGUAAAAUUGUUAUUUUUGGGAUAGGGAAAUCUACACUAGUUACACGGCAACCUCGUAAAAUACCCCCGCCCGUGUAAUUAUAUUUAAAAACUUAAGAGUAGUAAAUAAGGCAUCCGCGUAUUUAAUGCCCACGUGUAUUGUUAGACUACUACAUGUAGAAAACGCGUAUAUAUCCACCAUCGUAAAUAACCACUUUUACCUUAAUUUUUAUCGUCUCGACCACUUCUUACUGGGUGGUAAGUCGUAUAUCAUUCACGCUUUUUGGAGAUAAAUUAAGAACAUCUCUACGUGAAGGGAUGGUUAAAAGUUGGUUCCCUGCUGAAAUCCCAGUCCCGGGCCACGCCGAGUGAUUGGUGUAUCUUGGGUAGGUUCUAUCCGGGUCAUUCAGACGCUCACAGCUCCAGAACCCUGGACGUUAGCGUUCCCGUGUGGGAUAAAUGCUAAUUAAGUGACAAAACCAAUGUGUCGUUCAAUCUUGAUCACCUUAAUGAUACAAAAAGAAGCACGGGGUUGGGAAUUUGUCUAGAAUUUAGUAUUUUGUCCAUGUGACUUGGUCUUAAUUUUAUGUUAGUUCUGAUACAGAUACAUUUGUUAUGAAGUAUUAUGUGAAAAUUAACAUUUAUUUUA